This 374-nucleotide ribosomal RNA is filed under the name uncultured organism. RNAcentral describes it as "partial 16S ribosomal RNA". It matches the Rfam family "Bacterial small subunit ribosomal RNA", at positions 527 to 896 of the family's 1533-position model. The record is from RNAcentral.
GUAGGUGGCAAGCGUUGUCCGGAAUUAUUGGGCGUAAAGCGCGCGCAGGCGGUUCUUUAAGUCUGAUGUGAAAGCCCCCGGCUCAACCGGGGAGGGUCAUUGGAAACUGGGGAACUUGAGUGCAGGAGAGGAAAGUGGAAUUCCACGUGUAGCGGUGAAAUGCGUAGAUAUGUGGAGGAACACCAGUGGCGAAGGCGACUUUCUGGCCUGUAACUGACACUGAGGCGCGAAAGCGUGGGGAGCAAACAGGGAUUAGAUACCCUGGUAGUCCACGCCGUAAACGAUGAGUGCUAAGUGUUGGGGGGGUUUCCCGCCCCUCAGUGCUGCAGCUAACGCAUUAAGCACUCCGCCUGGGGAGUACGGUCGCAAGACUG